AGAGUUUGAUCCUGGCUCAGGAUGAACUUUGGCGGCGUGCCUAACACAUGCAAGUCGAACGAAGCAUAAGGGAAGGAAGAUUCGUCUGACGGAACUUAUGACUGAGUGGCGGACGGGUGAGUAACGCGUGGGUAACCUGCCCCAUACCGGGGGAUAACAUUCAGAAAUGAGUGCUAAUACCGCAUAAGACCACAGUGCCGCAUGGCACAGGGGUCAAAACUCCGGUGGUAUGGGAUGGACCCGCGUCUGAUUAGGUAGUUGGCGGGGUAACGGCCCACCAAGCCGACGAUCAGUAGCCGACCUGAGAGGGUGACCGGCCACACUGGGACUGAGACACGGCCCAGACUCCUACGGGAGGCAGCAGUGGGGAAUAUUGCACAAUGGGGGAAACCCUGAUGCAGCGACGCCGCGUGAGUGAGGAAGUAUUUCGGUAUGUAAAGCUCUAUCAGCAGGGAAGAAAAUGACGGUACCUGACCAAGAAGCCCCGGCUAACUACGUGCCAGCAGCCGCGGUAAUACGUAGGGGGCAAGCGUUAUCCGGAUUUACUGGGUGUAAAGGGAGCGUAGGCGGCUGUGUAAGCCAGAAGUGAAAGCCCGAGGCUCAACCACGGGACUGCUUUUGGAACUACAUGGCUUGAUUGCAGGAGAGGCAAGUGGAAUUCCUAGUGUAGCGGUGAAAUGCGUAGAUAUUAGGAGGAACACCAGUGGCGAAGGCGGCUUGCUGGACUGUAAAUGACGCUGAGGCUCGAAAGCGUGGGGAGCCAACAGAAUUAGAUACCCUGGUAGUCCACGCCGUAAACGAUGAA
This 805-nucleotide ribosomal RNA is filed under the name uncultured bacterium. Its description in RNAcentral is "bacterial SSU rRNA". It matches the Rfam family "Bacterial small subunit ribosomal RNA", at positions 8 to 813 of the family's 1533-position model. The record is from RNAcentral.